Molecule: unclassified non-coding RNA, 20 nt
Filed under: Mus musculus (house mouse)
Lineage: Eukaryota; Metazoa; Chordata; Mammalia; Rodentia; Muridae
Description: oocyte_clustered_small_RNA4083
Source: RNAcentral
UGUUUGCAUGUGGCAGGUGC